RNA transcript from Lytechinus pictus (painted urchin), 24186 nucleotides. RefSeq lists it as uncharacterized. The record is from RefSeq and is a predicted model, not a curated record. The transcript has 3 exons. NCBI's taxonomy places the organism in Eukaryota, Metazoa, Echinodermata, Echinoidea, Temnopleuroida, Toxopneustidae.
AAUUAUAUAUCAUGAGAAGAAUGGAGGGGUCCACUGAAAAGCAAAGCUUGUAAAAUGUGGACCCUCAAAAAGUUAGGAUGGAAAGAAUAUUGAAAUAUACGUAAAGGAAUACAUGAAGAUAACAAAAGGGGCAAAAAAAUCUUAUAUACAGGAUUGUGAAAUUCAGAGACAAAAGACAAUAACACGACAACACAGGUACAUGAGGGUGGACAAUAGUACGAUGACAACUGCCUAGAAUAUAGAAAGAAAAAUAGAGAUAGGGAGAGGGAUGCAAAGCUUGUAUCUGUUAUACUGACAAAGAUCUAUAUGCUCCUUCCAUAGCAUGUUAUAAUCAAUACUGAUUUGUGCAAUCGGUAAAAGAAAACUGGUCACUAUGUGUGAAUAAAUUGAUUUUAUUGGCAUUUGAUUCAUUUACUUGUAAAAUGUCAGUAUAUCUGCAUACAUAUUCUUAUUCAAUUACAGUAUACACAGUAUAAACACUGUUCAAUUUUUUUUCGUACGAUGCCGUUUACUAGUUACUGUAAAGUUCAUCUGGUGAACAGUAUUGUGUAAGAUUUAAACAGCAUUUUUACAGUAUUUGUUUAAUGUACUUUUAUUUAUGUACAGUAUAUGAUGAUGCAUUUACUGUUACAUUUUAUUAUGUUUAUUAGAUAACUUUUAGGUGUUGUCAACUACCUUGACAUCAGUGACAAUACUGCUUGUUGAUUGGCUCUUCCAAUGAAAGCAACUUUUUAUGAAAUGAAGCCCAGUUCUGUUUAACCCACCACUUCAUCCCACACGUCCAAAAUUCCACAAAUCAUGUUCCUUUCUUUCCAUGAAAAAUUCAGGAAAUAGAUGUCUUUGAACCACUGCUGCUAUUUUUUUAUUUACUACAUUGUUAAAAAAACAGGACAUUUUUUAAAUUACUGUUAAAAAUGCGAGUGAGUGAGCAUAAUUGCUUAAGGUGACAGACACCAGGAAAGUAAAACUUUUCAGGGAUACUUUUCAGCGGUGGUGUCGUCAACAUUUAAAUCUUAACCAAAGUUAAGUCUUGGAAAUUUCAUCAUAACUAUAAGAAAGUAUAUGGACCCAGUUCAUGAAAUUUGGACAUUAUGGUAAUGAAAUAUCACUGAUCAUCUUGCGUGAGUUUCAAGUCACAUGACCGAGUUCAAAGGUCAUUCAUGGUGAACAAACAUGACCAUAUUGGGGAUAUUUUCUUAAAUGUCAAAAGUUGGAUAUAGGUCAUAAAACUUGGACAUAACGGUAAACAAGUGUAAUUGAUCAUCUUACACAAGUUUCAGGUCUUAUGAUUAAGGUCAAAUGUCAUGUAGGGUCAUUGAACUUAUCAACUUUGAAAUCUUAACCAAUGUUAAGUUUUUGUAAUGUUAUCAUAAAUUUGAAAGUAAAUAGAUCUAUUGCAUGAAUCUUUGACGCAGGGGUAAUCAAGUGUCACUGAUCAUUUUGAAUGAGUUUCAGGUCACAUGAUUGAAAUCAAAUGUCAUUUAGGGUCAAUUAACUUUUUUUUUAAAUAAUGAGUCAUCUUAGUUGUGUUUCAAAGUCAGCACUGCUGCUAUAUUGAAUCAUGUAAUGCAGGGGAGACUGCCAGAGGUGUUUUCACUUGUUCAUCAUAUUGGAUAUAAUAAAUGUUCUUAUAAAAAUUAUCUGUUUAUGGUAUAAAACUGGCCAUAUUGGUAAUACUGUAUCAUGAUAACUCAUAAUUGAGAUCCCUGUUUGUUUCCUGUUGAAUGAAAUGAAAUAUUAAAAUUAUAGAUUGAUUAGUAUUUCUGUCAGAACUUCAAAGAGAUAGCUUAUUCAUUAGGUGCCAAAGAGCUUAACACCACUCUAUCUUUAUCAGCAAUAAUGGGAGAGGCAGUUAAUUGCUUUUCACUGCUUCAUUAGGCUAAUGAGUCAGACUUUUUACAAUUUCAUUUCAUAUUUCGCAGGUUAAGGAUAUUGUCACAAUUUUUUAUGACAAGAGAGGGGUCUGUUCUUGCCAUGGAAUCGAAAAAGAAUAGAUAUAUGAGCAAAUCAUCUUGAUUUGGACACAUGUUGAUUCAUUCUUGUAUAAUAUUGGGUGGGGAAAGUAAAAUUUGGUGUUAAAUGUUCAAAGUACAUGUAUGCAUACAUGUGUAGAAUAUAACUCAAAUCCAAAAUUAUCUUUAUUUCAUGACUUGCAAGACAACAUCAUAGAUGACUACUAAUCAUGACUCAUCCAGUUUUUUUUAUAAUUUUGGCAUAGAUACUACUACUAUUGAUUUGCUUGAAAUGUAUUAUAGUAUAUCUUCCAUUAGAAAUUGACAUUUCGACCAACCCAUAUCCCUGCUUGAGAACCCAUGAAUUAUUUCCUGGGGCCGGAAACACAAAUAUUGGCAAUUGAACAAAGCUUAAUUAUAUGCUUCAUUGCAUAUAAUGAUCAUUGUAGUCAUAUAAAAAAAUUAGCCCUGUGAUCAAGUUUUGUAUGUUUUGUGUUUAGGGGCCCAGUUAUCAUUGCUAUUUCAAGGAUAUUGAUAUCACAGAGGAACUAGUCUGUACACCCUAUUAGAUUUAUUCAAGAACUAAAUACCGUACCUUUGAAUGCAAGAUGAAUUCAAAUGUUAACACUUGUUUUUUUUUUAUAAGACAAGGUGAGGACAGGCACUCAAGAUAAAAGAAAUGGAGUACAAGAAAAAAAUAUGCUGCAUCAUGAAUUUCAAAUACAUGUGAAAUUCAUUGAGAAAAAUUUGUUCAGAAGUGACUAAAAUAUCAAAGAUGUAAAUAAUGAGUUGUGUGUGUUGGUAUCAAUUGAAAAUCAUUUAAGUGUAGAACCAAGGAGGAUUCUACUUAUGCCACAUUAAAUUUCAUAUAAAGCACUAGAUAUAGCUGUGUUGAGCAGUGCUAUCAACACUAGUGUCAAUAUUGUGUAGAAAUUGACAGUUGAUAUGUGGUCAUCACAAAAAAGUAACAAGAAACAUUUGGAAUACAUGAUGAUCUCUUGAAUUAUGGAUCUUUUAAUAUUAUUUUUUACAAUAUGAGGCUAUUUAUGCAUUUACACACCAAGUUGUCUUUUGCUACUGAGAUUUAAAUUCUGAAGCAUUAUGAAUUGAAAAUUUAUUGUAAUCUACUAUACUUCCCAGUCUUAUUUCAGUGAGAGUAAAUUAUAAUUUACUCCGAAUAUUGAGCAGAAUAUAUGUCAAGGACUCCUAAAAUAAAAAUCUUUUUGAUUUGCCCUGUGGAUAUAUAUUAUCAGUUGUAUUCACUCACUUAAAUUGACAUUAAACUGCUUCAUAUGCUAGAGUAAAGUAGAAGUAAGAAAGCAUUUUCCUGUGCAUGAUGUACAAUCCUUUCAUUCAAAGCCAAAAGAAUGUGGCUGUUGUGGUUCAGCGAUGCUCAAUUAUUUGAGUUUGCUUGAAGCACUGAAAUAGAAAUUUGGGAAUGACUGUUGUUUGUGGUUUUAGGAUAAAAACUGUAAGAAUUGUGUUAUGCAUAACUAACACUGUUCAAAUUGGGGGUUUUAUCUGCUGAUUUUUACUUUCUGUACUUAUCUUUGUGGAAACAUUUCAUGUAAGUACAUUAAAUGCUUCAGUGAGACAAUAUAGUAAUGUAAUUCUUACAGUGCUGUAAUGCUGUCCUUUGUACAUGAUAUUUGUGGUGAAUAUACAGUGAAUGAUGUAUCUACACUCAUGAUUAUUUUUUAAACUGAUAUUGCAAUAGUUUUCUUUUAGAAAAAUGAGAAUAAAAGUUGAAUUUAAUAAGUCUAAUACUUUUAGUAUAUUUAGUACCCUUAAUGUUAAGAAUCUGUGUUUUCUAGAUUGUAAAUGAUAUUGCCUUGUAUUGCAGUAAUAUAUUAAUUGAAGAAGAGUAAGUAAUAGCACAGUACAUGAUAGGCUGCCACAAAUAAGUGUUUGCAAAUACCUAUCUGUAUUAGGCUCUGUUUGUACCUAACAAUAGGUGGUUUCAAACCGCCUCGAUCACAAGAAUCCCCGUUAAAUUACGAGAACUUUUUUAGGCUGAAAAAUACCCAUUAAUUAUUCCUGCAUUCACACCGCCCUGAAACAUACCCUUCGGGAUGAGUUCCUGAAGUUACGAGCAUGCGCAAUAUGGUCUGAUAAGCAGCAAGGCGCGAAAUUCAAAAUCACUAGCCCAGCAGCAACCCAUGCACGGCGCCGCACCCAACGACACGCUGGGCUAAAAGUUCCCGUAAUUUGCUUUCAGACCGCCAAAAUACCCAUGACCUUGGAAAAAUCCCCGCGAAAGUUCUUGUAAUUUCGCCAAGUACCUACUAUUUAUCGGGUAUUUUCUUUCGGGGAUAUUACGCGUAGUUUGCUUUCACACCGCCAAAAUACCUGGUAUUUUCUGAUCGGGGUAAAUUUCCCGAUCAGAGAAUACCUGGAACUGGCGAACUUCGAGGCGGUCUGAAACCACCUAUUGUCACUCAUUCAUAGCCAUUCAAAUCAUGGAACUAAUAACAAUGCCAUUUUCUUGAUUUUGAUUGUAUAUUAUGUAAAGCUGUAAUCUGUCAAUUCUGUGAGAACGUUGAAAUGCACAGAUCUGUUCCCCCUUUGUGAAAUUGUUUAGAAUGUUGUGAAAUUGUUAGGAAAUAAUGGAUAUAGGGCUAAAUGAUUUUGAUAAAGAAAUAGAAAAUGUUUACUUGUGAUUUCCCUUCUUUUUGUUCUUUCCUAUGUACAGGAAUGCUGCCUGAAAUAAGUGAGAAAAGACGGUGAAUCUUUCAGGAGCCAUUGUUCUUCAUGAAGUCUACUCUAUAAGUUUCAAGAAAUAUCAGAGAAAUAAUGAUUUAUUAGAGACAAGUACUAUACACAGUUUCACCAUUAAGAAAAUAUGAUAAAAAUACAAUGGUGGAGAAGAAUAACCAAAUGAGAAUAAGUGAUGAUGAUAUAAUCUCAAAAUUCAGUGAUAACUUCAGCUUAAAGCUUCUAUCUCCACUCAUUCGUCUUAAAAAAGAGCUGCGCCUCUCACUUCCCGAUCUUGUUUCAAGACAUAAGCUUCAAGAGAACUUAGGAGCAGGUGGAAAUAAUGGAGGAGACAUUAUAAAAGACAAUGGGGUUGAAACCAGAUUUAUGACAAAUGAUGGUUCAGAUUUGGACAGAUCUAUUCUUCACGAUGGGAAACUGGAAAGCACUUACAAUGAAAGUGAACUGCUGCAGUCAAACUUGGAAUCAACGGAAGAAGUGAAUGUAAAUGCCACGCUUAAAACUUCAGAGAAGAUCCCAGACAAACAGGAUGUUCAAAUCAAGAGAAAACGUGGUAGACCACCAAAGAAGGUUAGAUCAGUAGGUGGUAAUGCCACUAAAGCUGUAAGCUCUACCAAAGCCCCCCACUGCCAGUCAACUGUCUUACCAACAAGAAAGGGGAAUAGACAAAGGAAACAUGGAUUAAACGGUCAUGGCAAAGCACUUAGUGAAAUUUCUAUCACAGCUCCUGUAAGUCGCUUACACGCUGCAGCCAGCCAAACAAGUCAGUCAUUUCCAAAGUCAAAGUUUGGAUCCCGAGCUGGAAAACAUCAGAUCAUCCGUAAAUACCCCUUGAGAAAAUUGCUUCAUUCUAGGUCACGGUUGUCCAGAUUUCCUACAUAUAGCAACAGUAUUGGACAGAUCACAAGAAAAUCAUCUGAUGCAAUUAGUAUUGAUGAAAUCUCUGUGAAAACUAAUGCAAAUUCCAAAUGCUUUGCUGGGAAAUUGUUAAAAACAAAAGAAAUUCCUCCAGAAAUCCUUGAAACCAUUAAUAAUAUUUCAAAAUGUGUUACAAGUGACUCUUGCAGUAACCCUGGAGUCGAUUCAAAGGAAAGCAAUCAAAAGGCUCCUGACAGGGAAUCUAGUGAAGAUGUAGCAAGUACCAUUUCUUCAGCAUACUGUGCUAAAGAAAAAAGUAAACCCAAAAAACUCUUGAAGAGCAAGUCAAAGAUGCAAAACUCUUGUCUCCCUAAAAAUCUUCCUUCAUCCCCAUUAUGUGUGGAUCGUUCUGCAGAAAAGAAGUUAUCAAACUCAUCUUUAGGAUGUGAGAAUCGGUGUAAUGAUUCUGUAGGUGUGUAUGAUUUCACUGAUUCCUCAAAUGACAGUGUAUGUAAGCCAGCUCCUCCUCCCCCAGUGAUGCUACAACGGAAAAGAGGCAGACCACCGAAGCAGAAGAAUUGCCAUGCACAACGUAAAGCCAAGUUCCAGCCAGUGACAGUCUCAUCAAGUAGAACAUUUUGUAGAAACCAGCCAAAAACUAAAGCAUCAAACAAUUGUUCUAGCAUUUCUCAAGGUCCUGUGCAGCCUGUUAAGAAAAGGGGGCGUGGGAGGCCACGCAAAAACACAAGGGCUAUGCUGUCAUCACAGAAAAAUUGCCAAAAAGAAUCCCAGAAAGUGUUUAAUGUCAAGGAAGGAAACAGCUUACAUCAUGAACGUGAAUGUUCAAGUUUACUAGUGGAAACAGAAUUUCCCAUUCGACAGGAAAAGGUUGUUGAAGAAAAAAAUCAUGGAACAGAAGAGGAUUGUAGUCAAUUGCAUGCUCCAAAAGUAACAGACAGUAGACAAGAUGACAGGUGUGUCUUGUUAUUACAUAAUACACAACCAAAUCCAGUAGAAGAUGAAAGUGGCGAUAUUCCUGAUGCUAUUCAGACACCAGGCUGGAAGGACAAAUCAUCAGAAUAUCAGAUGAUGAAUGAUGAAGUGUCAUGUUUGACACCUCCAGGAUCCAAUGAAUGUCUCUCAAUAUCAGGAGAUGACAAACUUCAAAUUCACAAAGAGUCUUUCAACCAGAAAUCAUGUCAGAGCCCAAGUAACAGCACUAUUUCAUAUUCAUCUUCAUCUACUCAAGAUUUCCUCUUCAAAGAUGGUGCUUCAUCACCUUUAUCACAUCCAAAUAUGCCAAAUUUUUAUCAAGAUAGGACAAUUAUAGACAAGUCCUCAGAAUUGCCAGAAAGGACCAACUCAUGUUCUCCUUGUCUGCCUCCAGAAAAUAGAAAAGAUCUGUUGUGUAGCAAUGAGUACAGUCAAAGUAUGACUGAAGCCAGUCAAGAAAAUGCUGAAUAUUCAUCUACUCAAGAAUCUGAUGGACUCUCACAAAUCAGGAUUACAAAAACUAUUUCACUGUCCCAAGAUGAGCUUCUUACAAACAAUACAGGGUGUAAUAGCGUCGAGACUCUUGGUGAUAAUUCAAUAGACAAUAAAAAUGAUAUUCCAGUCCCAGCUUGUGAUGAUUCUUCUAUUUUGCAGAGGAGGGAGAGGAAAAACAUUUUCCAGGCACUUAGAGGGGGCUUGAAUUCCCCACCUUCUAAUCUGAUCAGAGACAAUGGAGAGACCGAGUCCAGUACACAAGAAGACUGUCACCAAGAACAGAUGAGUCUAUCAGACUCUGAUAUACCUCAUCUUGAAGCCUAUGGAGGUUGUCAUUAUGGACAUGCUUCAAAUGGUAGUCCACACUCAGGGGCUUCUGACACUUUACCAAUUCUGGAAAAAGAAGCAUUUCAUGAUACUUGGCCCAGUAACGAUAAUGAUGAUGAAGAUGAAUUCGAAUUUGAAAACCCAUCAGGUGAUAAUUCGGAAUUUGAGAAGCCAUCAGAAAGUGUCUCUGUUGAAGAUUCUUCUAAGAACUGGCCUACUUUAUCAGAAUUUCCACAGUCUAAUACUGACAUGAAUAAUGCUGCUGAAGAAAUUCAUCAGGAUCUUCAGAAAGAAGAUAUUGGUAUUCAAGAUGAUGAGGAUGAAUUUGAGUUUGAGACUCCUGAUGAAGAUAUGACCAUACAUCCAUCUGAAAAGUCACCCAUGGAACUAUCCACAUCAUGCCAUGUCACAAUUAGUGAUUCAUCUUCCCGCAAUGAAGGUAUCCAUGAUGGCCAGGAGUUGCUGAACGAAAUAAAGGAAACAGAAUAUGAUGGAGGGCAGAAUGAGAAUUCCUUUCCAAAUCUUGGUCUUUCACCCAACCCAUUGGGAAAUUCAGGAGCACUACAAGGAAAUUCAACAUCUGGUAAUUCUACACCGAUGAAAAUAGUGGAAUUUCAGGAUUGUACAGCAAGUUGGUCAACCACGCUUGGAACUGCAAGUCAGGCAACCACGCUUGGAAUUGCAAGUCAGGCAACCACACUUGGAAUUGUCCAGAUUCCAGCUCCUGCAGACAAUAGCGAAGAACAGUCUGGAAAUGAUACAUCCAUUCAAGAAGUCUGUAAAACACAAGGGUCUUUGGAAAAAUCUUUAUCAGUCAGGAAUCCAGGUAAUAUCACUAAAAAUGACAUUACUAUCAUCUCAGAUCAAAAAAAUGAAUGCAGACUACCUGAUAUAGAAAUGGUGCAAGAAGACAAAGAAAUAGACCAGAAAACAAAUAACAUUCCAGAUAGCCUAAGUACGCAAGACCUGGGUCAAGAUAAAAUGCAUUCAGUAUUAAUCACACUGUCCCCAGAGAUGGAAAAAGAAGAGGUCAAUUCUGGUGAAAUGAUGGACAUUCCAGAUUCUAAUGUUGACCAAAAGUUAGGAGAAAGAGAUGAACAAUGUAUCAAGACAAGUACUGCAGAAUGUAAUGUUGAUCCAAUUGAAGAUGGAAUAGAGGAACAAUCUAGGGAGAUGAAGGCUUCUGCAGAAUAUGAUGUGGGCGAAAAAGUGGAAGAACAAGAUGAACCAUCCCUCAAGCUGAACAAUACCUCAGAAUGUAAUUUAGGCCCUCAAAUCGAAGAAAAAGAUAAGUCAUCCAGUGAAAUGAAAGAUACUGCAGAAUCCAUAGGAGAAAGCGAUGGAAAACUCAGUGAGCAAAUGGAGAGUAGUACAGAAUGUAUUGUGGACCCAAUCAUAGAAGGAAUAGCUUUCGGAGAAUGCAUUGCUGACAAAAAAUUUGAAGAACCAGAUGAACAAUCUAGUAAGAAAAAUUGUACUGAAGAAUGCAGUGUGAACUCCAAGAUUGAAGGAUUGGAUGAACAAAUGAGUGACAUGAAGGCUUCUGUAGAAUGUAUUGUUGCUGGAAAGAUGGUAGAAUGCAAAAAGGACUCCCCAAUAGAAGCUACAGAUGAAAAAUCCAGAGAAGUGAACAAACUUGUAGAAUGCAUCGUUGAGAGUUCUGAGGAAUCCAAUACUCCACAGGAGAUUGAAAAGGAACAUCUCCAAAGUAAUGUGCCUGGCGAUGAAAUGGUACAAGUUCCGGAAUCAGCUCCUGCUGACACAAAUAAUGCCAAUAGCUCAUAUCAGGAACAACUUCCUGUUUCUGAAGCUAAAGGACUGCCUAACAACUUUUCCGAUGGAGAUUUGAAAUGCUGUACAGGAAAGAAGAAACUGAUUACUAAAUUCACACUACCCUAUGGAAAUGAUAUAACAGGUCAUAUAGAUAGAGCCACUCAAGAUGGAAAUGACUGUGGGGGGAAUCUUCCUUCUAGUGUGCAUAUUGAGGAAUCUAAAUCUGAGAAAGAGAAACAGGAUCGUGAUUUGCAGCAAAUGCAAGAUAUCAGGCUACAUACACGUCCCACAGCAGAAGGACAGCCAUGUCAUCAUAUAGAUAGUGACACUGAAAUCAUAUCAGAUAUUAUGGAGGAGAUACUUUCAAAUGUAAGCAUUCUGCAAGAUCAAAUUGUAGAACAUGCAACCUCCCCAGUUAGUGAAGAAUUACAAGGGACAUUAGAGUCUACAGAGGGUGUAAUUGAAGUUGUACCAACAAGCCAUGAAAACCGUUCCAAUGUAGUGGACUUACAUGAACAAAAAAAGAAAUCUCUAGAGGUUUCCUCACUUGGCCCUGAUGUCAAUGAAAUAUCUUCAGUCAGCAGUCCUAAACCAGACAUUUCCUUGGACACUUCACAGAGUAUUGAACUACAAGGAGCUUCAGUGACAGAGAAGACCCUGGAAAAUGCCAAUUCACUAUCCGGAGACUUUCAAAAUGAAUCUGACUUGCAUGACUUGCAGCUGGCAUCAGCAUCACAAUGUAAUAUAUUCGCUGAUACCUUAAAGGAAUCCAGUCUGUCCUCAGAACAAGACCCACCGAGCCAGGAGAAGGUGCAAGAUCAGUCUGCAGAUCAUCAACUGUCCUUUCAGUUAAAUUUGGAAGAGCAGAAAUCGACCACUCUUGGACACAGCCAAAAUGACUUUACAACAGAACACCUGGAAGAGGAAUGUCCUGAAGAAACUGCUACAAAAGAUCAAACUAUAUUAGCUGAAACACCAUGUCAUGAUGAAGGUUCAAAAACUCCGACUGAUACUGCCCAGGUUGGAAAUAAUCUUCUGAAUAAACCAUCUAAAAUGUCUGAAGAGCUAGUUAAUCUUAUUGAUGCAAGUAAAGAAUCAUACCAAAAUUACAAUAUAUUCUUGGGAGCAUCUGCAGGUGAUGAAACAAUGGACAUGUUGUCUAUUGCCUGUGAAGAAACAGUAGGGGGAUAUGAAGAGGAUGCUAUGUCUACAACAAGUUCUGGAGGAGCUACUAUAGCUUAUCCACUCAGUGAUGGAGAUAAUUGGGGUGAUCCUAGAGAAAGCAUGGUUGGUAAUGUUGUCGAGGUUGAAGAACAUCAGUCCUCACCUGUGCCAGACAUGACAAAUCCAACAACAUCUCAACAAAGAACAGAUGUAAAACAUACACUGACUGCAUGUAAAUGGACUGUAACAUUCAGGAAGGUAAAGAAGAGGAAAAGAUCUAAAGAAAGACACCAUAAGAAAAGCAGAAGUAAAAAACACAAGAAACGUCAUGAACCAAGCAAGCAAAAACCAACAGACACUAAACAGAAGUGCCAUCUCAAAACAGAUCUUGGAGCUGAUAAAGAGGACAUAUUUGAUAAUGAGACUGCUGACACUACUACAAAGCUGCUAGAAAGAAUGGAGGUAGAAAAAGAUGAAAACCCCAAAUUGCUUCUCCAAAAACAAACCAUUGAUAAUGAAUCCUGUGAUACCAGGGAAUCAAGAAACCACAUGGACACAGAAAUUCUAGAAGAUGAAAAAGAUGUAAUUGAACAAUCAGAGGCACCAAAAUCUCCCGAAAAGCUACAAAUGGCUAGCAUUUCGUCCCCCGUUUUCAAGAGUCUACGUUGUCCAGAUACUCAAACAAAUCAAUCUAUAGAAACCAAUCUGAAAUCUGUUCCUCUUGAAACUAAUCCUCUAUCUGGAAGAAUUGUCCCAAUUACAACUAAUGAAAAAGUACAGGAAGUUUCUGAUUUAGAUAAGAGACCGAGUAGUGAUGAUUACAAACUUUGUGAGCCGGUUAUUGGAGGUGCUGAAGAUGUGGUCACUUCAGUGAUUAACGAUGACAUUCCCAGAACACCUCCAAGUGACCAAAAAUUGUGUAAUGUACCAGUUACAGCUGUAAGUCCUGCACCACGUGUUGACAUUUCACUCCCAUCUGUAAGUCUGCCAAACUCCCAAGAUGUUACUCUUGUGGAAGAAAUUCAGCCAUCAAAUCCACCAUGGCAAGGCAUGGAAAAUGUCCAAAGAGAGAGUACAAACAUGCAUUCAGUACAAAACACAGCUGGAAAAGGUAGCAGAGGUGCUAAGACAGUGCACCAUAUUACCCAGGAUAGAGCAACAUUCUUUGGUACACCUAGGAGAGACAAAAGUCAUUUCAGACCAAACAUUACUAUUGGACAUUCUCUAUCAGAUAACAGAUUUUAUCUACCACAUGCAAAGCAGUCACCACACUCUCUUCAACAAUCUGCACUGCAAAUGAUGCAUGUGAGGCAAUCAUAUAGGAAUCCAUCUGGAGCCUGCAAGGAGCUUAAACAACACCUGCUCAAUAAACAGAGGCUUGCUGCGCCAGGUUCGCAAAACCAGUUCCCCCAAAGUCACCUGCCCAUAACCAACAAAGAAAUUGUUUCUAAUCAGAAUCUGUAUUCAGCUAUUCUUCCAUCAGAAAGAGAUUUGGCUUUAAAUCUACUACAGAGGCAGUCACAGAUUGAAGUAGGAAAGAAACACGAGGGCGAAGCAAACAGACAUAACUCUGCAUUGCCUUUUCUCCAAGUACAAACUUACCAAGAACAAUUUCAACACUUUCCUCCAAGAACUUUACCUGUUGACAUGAACCUCCAUCAUUCUGGAGCACUGAACAGCAGCAACAUUUCAACUGGAGUAGGUCACAGAGAUAUUGAUAGGCUACAGCCUCAUGGUAAUAGGGUUGCAACAGCUGGAACGUUUAGCCCUCCAUGUGCAGAUGAUCUCCAAAGAAAUGCACCAACACUGCACUUGGGGCAAAUUCAUGAGAAAGCAGAGAAAAGCAAAGUGGGAUACUUGCCUGUUGACAAUCAGUUAGGAUAUGCAGAGAAUAUUCCAGUUUUUACUGCUAAAGGGCCAGAGAAACAGCUUAUUGCUGUCUAUCCUGAUGGUUAUGUUCCCGUACCACAGACAGAAAUUUCAACUCAUUUGAAUAUCCAACAAAGUUUUCAACAUGCUAGAAAGCUCACCCCAACCCUCCAACAUCCUCAUUCCAAUACUGGCAUGAGUAUUUCCCAGGCUAAUACGAAUCGAGAUGAAAUGCUGUUAUUGUUGAGGCAACUUCAUGGUGGAAAUGGAACAAAAAGCAUGAGAAAUUUCCCCGUCAACCUAGACCAGUUUGGCACUCGGACUUCUGGCAUUUCACCUCUGGAAUCCCCACAUAUUCAUGAGAAUACCAGACUCAACCAGGUUACUGCACUGAUUCAGAAACCCUCACAAACAUCAACAGCAUUACAUCAACUUCCAAACUACCCACAAGACAGUCAUUUACAAAAUCCAUUGAUGAUGGAACAUGUCAGCCAGAGAAAGAAUACAGUUGAUGCCCAACGUGAGUUGUUUCAUCCACACUCACCGCAAAGCAGUCAGGGUAACUUUUUAGCAGGUGCUCCGAGCAGCUUCCACAACAUGACAUCAAGUAUUCCUACUCCAAGAAUGCACAGCCGAACUCCUACACCUGUAUCAACUACCACAAGUACAAGUGAUAGCUUUACAAACCUGUCUCAACUUCCAUCAACAGAAUUAGAAAGGACACCUCUUUCAAGAACAUCAACACCAAGGAGUCGAUGUACUCCAUCAUCUACACCACACAUGAUAAGUGAAUCACCUCUUCCAGGACAAACAGAAAUAUUACACUCUUCCUCAAAUAACUGUAGUGCUAUAGAAGAUGUGCCUCUGGAUCUUACCUGUAAAGGAAGAACAAGGUCAAAUGUUGACAAAAACCCUACAGCUCCUCUUGAUUUGUCUUGCAAGCCAAUACUAUGUGACACUGAAUCACAAGAGCAAAAUGCAGUACAGGUCCCUUACAGUGUCCAUGAAGAAAGCAGAACCCAGGAAACUCUUCGAAGAUCACAUUCUGAAGAGCCAGGAAGUGAUAUUGAAGUUGUAGAUGUACAAGGGGGUGUAGAAGUGAAUGGAGAUGAACCUCAAGAUCCUGUAGUACUGAGUUGUGGUUCAUCAGAUUUGUCUUCUUCCAUUAACUCUUGCAUUCCAGUUGAAAAUAGAAGUGCUGAAGUCAUAUCUCAUCAAGAUCAGAAUAUUCCAAGACAAGAUGUGAAUAUUGAUUUGCUUAGAAGUAAACUUGGACUCCCUGUCAAUGCUGACAAUUCAUCUAUCCCUGUAAACUACCAAGAGAGAAGUGAAACAGUGAUAGAUUUAUCAUCAGUUACCAAACAGUGUCAAUCAAGGGAUAGAAAUGUGUAUAUGGAUAGAGCUGGAGGACCUCAUGUUUUUAGUGAUCUGCUGCACCAUGGACUGACUUCAGGAGGACCUGGCCUGAAAAUUGCAAAAACAUAUAACAAAUUUGCCAAUCCAGUUACAAGUACUCCUUCAAGUAUUCCACUUAUUGAUCUCACAUCGAUUCCCAAGAAGAUGCAUGUACAUGAUGCCUCUGUAAAGUCAACAUUAGAGGUUCAUCACAGAAAAGAGUCAAGGUGCAGUGCCAAGACACCACCCAAUGCUCAAGGUCAAAUUUCCUAUGUGCCAUGUCAGCUCCGAAGAACAAGAAGUGAUGAUACGGAAGUAAGGCUUAGCUCUGGCAAUUUGGAAUAUUCAAGUAAAGUUAGUCCAGCUGUUGGUUUGGAAAGCAACAUCCCUCCUGAUGAUUCCUCUAUUCCACCCCAAAGUAUAACAAGAAGUUCUUCAACUUCCAACAUUGUAGUCAGUUCUGCAGACUCUAAUUUACAAGGGCAAAAUAGCCCACUACAUUCUAAAUUUAAUGUCCCAAUGAAUGUUCAGUCAUUGAGUGAAAUGAGUCAAUGCCCAAAGAAGCGGUUCAAGCGGGCCCAUGAAGCAUCCUUCUUGCAAUCUGAUGUAAUGAUUCCUUCAAAGAUCCCUGCAGCAAAGACAGACAGUGAUGUGGCAAAGCCUGCACAUCCAUCUGGACCUCGUAAAAGGGGAAGACCAAGAGGAAGCAAAAAGACUGUUAUGGUUAGUCAAGUAACUCCUGUAAUGAAACAAUGCAAAUUCUGUCAGUUUGCAACCACUUCUCGCCAAGAAAUGAAAAAUCAUGUAUACGAAAAACACUUUCAAAAGUACAGCAUCAAAGCUACUAAGUCGAACAGUGUCAUUAGUAUUCCUGAUCAACUUGCAAGAUUGAAUGAUGAAGUCAGUGCCUCACUACCUGAUGGAAAAGGACUGAGUGCAAAAAGUUUCAAGAUCAUGCCAUCUCUUGAACAUGUAAGGCCUCGUAGGAACGCUGAUGUAUCAAAAGAAAUAUCAAACAUGCAAAGAACAGGAACAGACUAUUGCCUACACUGUGAUCACUAUUUUCCCGAUACAAUAUCACUUGCGAGACAUCAAAGAAUUCAUCAUAAUGAGAAGCAGAAUUUUGGAUGCAGAUUAUGUGAUUUUUGUAGCUCUGCACCAGGUCCUCUUGUGUAUCACAUCAACAAAACACAUUCAAAGGAACUUACAGGUGGUUCUUGUCCAUUCAGAGACUGCAGUCGUCGGUUUUCAACGGUGAAAGAGGUGAAGGAUCAUCUGAAUGACCAUUGGAUAGAGAAGCAGUUUGCGUGCAAGAUAUGUGGUGUACGCUACCAAGUCCUCAGCUCUCUCAAGGCUCAUCUGGACCGCCACAGUCAGAAUUUCCCCAACAUAUGUAAGGACUAUCACAUUUAUAUGACUAUAUGGAAUGUAGAAACGGCAUCCUAUGUAAGUACAGUUUCAGAUUUUAAAUGUUUUGAUGAGCACUUUGUACUCCGCACUAUUAGAUAGAAUGUUUUGUCUAAAGGUCAAUCCAAAAUCGACUUAGAUUAUUUUGCCAAUUUGCUCAUGAAAAGGGAGGGUCAAACAGAGAGAUAUAUCUCUAUGGGGCCAAAUUACCUAUUUAGGAUUUACAAAUUAAAAAUGGAAUCGUGUCUUUCUGCAGAACUUAAAAGGAUUCUUUUGUGAAUAUUUUGAGAAAACAUAUUUUUCAGUACUUGGUGCAAAUUUUCACGAUCUGAUGCGAAAUUGACUUGUAGUUUUCUCAUUUUAUUGGGCGCUCCUUCUCUAUGUGCACAAUUUUUGUUCAAAAUUUAAAAAAAUAUCUAAGCAACCUACUUUAUAUCUAAUACCUUGGUGCGGGGAUAAACCAGCAGAAAAUGAUUGUGGCAUAUUUUGCAAAUGUCUAUCAGCUGUGGCCUUAAAAAGAUAGAUUAAUUGAUACAAAAUUAGGUGAAUAUGUCUUGCGGGCAAUCCUAAACAAGAUCGCAAAUUAUUGCAACUCUAUGAAAUAAUAACUCCAAUCACCUCAACCUCCACCCCAAAAUGGGGGGGGGGGGGUAGUGUCAUUAUAUUUUUAACUGUAUUGCAAUGUUGUAUUUCUCAUUUCCUGUCCGAUUUGUUUAUUUAUUCACUUAUAUACUGCCUUCAAGGAAUGCAAAAACAAAUGUGUGUUUGGGUUAAUAACACGUUUAUUUUGCAACAACAAAAAAUUGUCUUUUUUGUGCCUUUAAAAAAAUGCAUGUAUUAUUCUUAAAGUAUAUUUUAUUUUGCAUGGUUGCGCAGCAACGUUAAUUGUAAUCAUGGUAAUAGCACUUUGUUAAAGGUUUUACCAGGGGAACGACAACAUCGAUUAUGUCUUAAUAUUUAACCCAAUGUUUAGCCUAACAUAUCACAUAGCCGUUGGUUCGUUCAGAAGUCAAAACCUCGUCCUAUAUUAUAAUGAAUAAGUUAUUCAUUAAUCGUUCUAUUUUGAAAUUAGAAACAAGAAAUUUUUCAUCGUACUGUCGACAGAAGUUUUCCUUCAAAAUGUAAAUAUCAAAGAUUAUUUUUGCAUGCAAGCUUUGUGUUUUAUCUCAUUUUGAAAAGUUUGUAAAGUUCGUAAGGUUGCCAUAAUUCAGUUAUUAAUUUGGUGAUCGUGAAUUCAUCAAAUUUCUGGGGCAAAAUUAUGGAAUUUUUAGGUUUUCUUUGUCUCACAUUGUGCGUGGGUUUUCUUUGCCCCUCCCCCAUUUUUAUUAUUCACCUUAUGUUUGCAUUUUUUUUUUUGAGCUGAUCACGAUCACAAAAGAAAUUGAAACUAUAUUUGAGCUUUUUGCACCAUGCUUGCUUGGAAACUUUUUUUAAAGUCGAAAACUAAUGUACAUUUUAGGUUCCAUGACAUUUGCUCCGGCGACAAUUGCUCCGAUUGAAAUACUGCACAUUGAGCCAAUCAUAUAACCUAACCUCCAAAACUGAAUAAACCCUAAUCCAUAUCUUAACAUUAUUCUUAACUAAAACUCUAUCACAAUCCGAACUCUAAACCUAAUUUGCCCUCUGAAAUAAUUAAGACCGGAGCAACCGGGUUUCAAAGAUUCGAAUGUGUUACGAUUCAAAUUUAGACCUGAAUGAUUAAUAUAGAGUUGACUGCCGGAAGGUCGUACAACUCGUACAUGGGUUUUUUUGCAUUUUUAGAUUGAUUUCACGUGUCAAACCAGUAAGAGUACAUGAAUAUAUCCAUGUGUUUAUAUAUGACUAAAAAUAUUUUUAAGUGUAUGAACAAAUUUGCAGACCAGAGUAGAUGUAAAACUAGGUACGAGAUUUGAUUGGAAGAGGGUUAAUUCCGGCGCACAUUUCACGAUCCGUUGCUGAUCGAUUUUCAAAGAAUACCGUAGCAUUUGUUAUGAACAUUACAACCUGUAAAAUCUUAUUGGUCAAAAUUCCCAAUAGUGGUAUGAAUGCUAAAAUUGUAUUCAUGUCUAAAUCGUUAUGACGUCAUCGGCAGCGACUUGAUGCCGAUGUGUAGUUUACACCGGGACUUUACUCUGACUACAAGGGCAUGCAGCAAAGCAGAAAUUAAAUUUCAGUAUUCUGAGCAUUAUAGCGAAUUUCACUUCUUUCAUAUUCAAUGCAAAAUGCGAUUUGUUCAUAAAUCGCAUCUUUGACAGAUCGUGUAGUGUGCGCUGGUCUUUAUAACAUUUCGGUAUUAAGUCGUGUAGUGUUCGUAUCCAGUCGUAAACACAUAGCCCUUUGUGCAUAUUUCAUAUAUACAUAUAUACAUACCCAGUAAAUGUAAAUUGAUUGGAUAAAUGUUAUUAUCGGUUUUUCUUCGUGUUUACAAUAAUGAGGUUUUGAACUCGUUCUAGGAACCAUUCACGGAUCUGUUGAUUAAGAAAUCCAUGGAAACUGUGGGAUCCAUACGUGCUUGAAUAACUACGGCAAUAUAUUCUACCCGACUUCCACGUACUCUAUCGUACACGAUCAGGAGAGGUGCUCUAUGUCUGUAUUGUUCUCUCGUAAAGUCUGGUAACGUUUUUUAAUUCCAUUGGUGACGAUAGGUAUCAAUUGUAUUGUAUGUAAUUUAUCACAUCAUAUUUGUAACAGUUUGUAUAUGUUUUUCUUCAAUUUAUUAUUACGAACUUGAGACAGUUUUAAAUCUAAUAUCCAUGCGUGUAUUUAGGGAUGAAUCCGUGUUUUCCUCGGAGGUAUUCCUCCCAUUGUGAUAGAAAUUCGAUGUGAAUUUAACUUUUUGAUUUUGAUUUAUGAAAUUGCAACGGAGUAAUGGCAAUUUCACUUCUGAACUAUACUAUGCCCAACACAAGACAUACAUGUUCAGAUGUAGGUGUAUAUAUCCCUUUUCAUCUAGGUAGGCGCAUUAUAAUAGUGGUAAAACAGCCGAUCGCGACAAGGGUCACACUCGGAGUUAUAGAUGGUACACCAGACCGCAAUUUUGGUCAAAAUCUUGGCCAGAGUUGGGGGUAUAUGUGGGGCUAUCGCGGAGUAUCAUCAGACGAAAUAAAUUAUCUUUUUUUUUUCUUUAAUGUGAGAAUAAUAAUAAUAAUAUAUGUGAUUUGUAAUGCGCCAAAUCCACUCGGCAGAGUGCCCAAGGCGCAGUGAAAGAAGAAAGAAAGAAGAGUGAUGAUGUGAUACAUAAUUAUGCUUUCGUAUUUUGUAGACAAUGCAUUCUAUAGGUGAAGUAACAUCCGCGUUUUAAUUGAAUACAUCUUCUUUCACCAUGCUUUUAGUGUGCAACUUAUUCCGAUGACGAUUUUUUUUUUUUUUUUUUUUUAUCUCUUGUAACGAAAUCUGAUAAAACUGAAGCUCGUGACGUAAAGAGGCAAUUGGCUUAAAGAUGUUGUUUGGACUGCAUAUACCAGUGACAGUAAGAUGAUCUUCAUAGUAGUAUUAUAUCUGGACGAUGGAGAUGGUAAGCUCUUAAUUUAUUAGGCUAAGGUGUUCUUGAGUUUUCACGGCGUGCAAACUAUUUAGGCGAGGAUACGUCGAGUGACGACAGAAUUACAUUUCAAUAAAAAAUGAAAUUGUGUCAUUCUGUAGGCCCAUUAUAGCCUACAAUUCGUGUAUGCUCCAAAGCAUCGUCACACCCGCGCAGUCGUUCGAAACGAUCAUCCAAUUAUUGGGUUUUCGUUCCUACCUCGUUGAAUUCGUGUUGAAUAUGCUCUCUUGUUAGAUUUGUGCUUCACAUUCGCAAUUAUUUUUGGCACCUUUCUUCAUUGCGCAAAGCCGCUUCAGAACUCUCAUGAUGUUCGUGACGUCUUCAUUAACAUGGGCUAACAUUCGUUAACAUUUUUCGGAAAAUGCAAUUGUAGAAAUAGAAACACCCGCCCAUUUUUUGUCGACAAAAAAACUAUAGGCCUGCUAAUUUUAAGAUAAUAAUAUAUUCUUAUCGCCCAAGUCAUUCCGGAAGUAGCGAAUACUCGAUUUCGACGCCCUUGUCGAUAGGCCUGGGCCUAUCAUCCUAUUUUGAUACAAGAAAACGAUAUACGCUCGGACCGCCCCCGUGAAGUUGCAUCGAAAUGCAGUUUUUUGUGGCACGCGCGAACGAUUUGCAAAGGAUGCGAAUGUUGUAAUGGCAAAGGCAGAAGAAUAUGAGUUUCUCUCCGAAAAUUAUCUGUAUUCUUAUACCGAAACCCUCUGAAGACGUAGACCAUGAUUGCGAGGUUCUCAUGAUGUCCAUCGCUGAUCCGCCGCAAGACAUAAGUCCACUGGAAGAGCAGUUGCCUCAAAUCAAAACGAAUUGAAUGUUCCUAUAUUUAUAGUGAAAAAUUAUAUUCGCUGCCUGUGAGAGAUAUUUGGCGAAUCGUGACUUUAGAUCUUGGCGGAGUUUUCAAGACCUAUUGGAGAAUAAAUCACGAGUAAAACACGACAUGGCCUUGGACGCCGUGCACCUACGCCGGCGAGAAAUUGGCAAGCUUCCAAACUAUGCGAUUGUUUGAUAAUGUUUGGAAGCGUAAAAUACGACCUGGUGGGUGUUUCAUAAAGUUGUUCGUAACACAUGAAGCUGUUCGUAAGAUACGAAUGACUUUACGCACGACUGGUGAUCCUUUCUUGUGCUAUGUGAUUUCCCUAUCCCUGCCCAAUAUAAUUGAUUUAUGACCUAACAACAUGUUUCAGUCGUCCGUAAAGUUGUGCGUAACUUUACGAACAGCUUUAUGAAACACCCACCAGGAACGCUGGGCAAUACGCCUGCGAACAGGGGCGUCGAUCCAUUUUUAACAAACUCACCCACACACACACAUAGGCCUAUAUGCAUAUAUAUAUAUGACUCAUGAGAAAGAGACACAUAUCUCACCAACAAAUUAAUGCGUGCGCGAAGCGAGAGCUGAAAAUGUUGAUAUUUCGAUUUGAAAAAAAAUGACAGUUUAAAGGACGUUUUUGAUAAGGAACAAGAUAUAUAUCCAACAAAAGAUUAUUGCAAAUCGAAGCGGGAGUUCUUUUGAGGUUUAGAACUGAAAAUUCACUUAUUUAAUCAUGAAAAGUAUGGGUUUUUGCUACAGAAAUGAUGCGAGCUGAAAAUUUUAAUAUUCCAAUCUGAAAAGCGGACAUUUUGAGCACGCUUUUAAAUAAAGAACGAGUUGGUAUCUCAAUCUCUCUUGCUGAUUUCUGUGCAACAUUACAAUCUUAUUUUAUUUUUGCACAUGCAGAAUUAUUGGGGGGGGGGCAAAACGAUAUGUUUGCCCCCCCCCCCAAUAUUUUCAUUGGUGGGGCGAUCGCCUGCCCCCCAGGAUCGACGCCACUGCCUGCGAAAAUUUGGCAAGCUUCCAAACCCUGCCAAUUGUUUGAUAAUCUUUGGAAGCAAUAAAAGUGGCUGUUGGACUUUGUUUCUUCGUCUUUUUUUUUUUAAGUUCGCAUUUUUCAUAAAUGUAUAGCCGUAUAAUGGGUUAUUAUAUGAUUGUGACGAGCAUACGAAGGAAGAACAAUAACAGUGAUACGCGUCGAAUCCAACAUUUGCCUUUUAUGCACUGAAAGUUCAUCAACUUUGCGCAGACUUUUGAGAGCCUCCUUGAUUGUUCUUUCAAUGGCCGUGAAAAACGUUCGCUAGAAAUUUCCAUCUUUGAAAUCCUGCCGAAAAGACCGACAGUAGCCAACAAUAGCACUCCCCCAAGAUUUUUUUCUUUCUGGUAAGGGGUAGCCCUCAACGUUUUACGCGAUAUCAGGGACGGAUCCAGGAUUUUCCAAGAGGUGGGGGGAGCACAUUUUCCCGAGAAAAAAAAUUGACAAGCAAAAAAGUAAAAUCACUUUCAAAGGGGGGGGGGGUACACUUGUGUUUUAACGGCAUUUUUACAUUACAAAUUUUAAUUGUGCCUGUCAAAGUUUUCAAGGAGCAAGCUAACGAUUUGCGAAUGAAGCAAUAUGUUUUAAUGGAUUCGGAGAACUUUCUUCUCCGGCAGUCAUAAGACAGUUGCCUGAAAAAAAAUUAUUCUCGCGCAGUUUAUGAAUGUCGUAUGUUAACCUGCCUGGAAUACACGAAGAAAAUGCGACCUAGAAGUGAAAAAUGCUAGUGUUCUGUGAAUCAUGUGCGAAUUUUUUGAGGAUAUAUAGCGACACAUGUGAACGCUUUGCGUCCAAUUCGCGCGCAAUGAACGCAAUAUAAUGCGACACGGUGCUACAUGCGUACAUACGUAGUUAUAAAACAUCAAGCACUAGGUUCAAUGGUUUGGUCCUGCCACCAAAUGUCUGAAGAUACCUAAAACGUUCGCAGAAAAGUCGGGAAACUAGUGGGCGAACUUCGGUCGCGCGAGAUAAUCUGCAAAACUUGUAAACUGGCUGAGGAUUUGUGAAGAUUUACGAAUAUCGCACGGAUUCUGCGUUGGUCUUGCGCAUAUUACGAAGCUAAAACGAACAAAAAUGGCCCGGAAUGCGGGAAACGUUCGCGAUGAAUUUGAAAUUAUUUUGAAAUUUCCCCCGAACUAAAAAUAACGACCGAUUUGCAAAGCUACGAACCUUUUGCAGCAGAAAAUGCGUGUGUUGGAUUUUACCAUUUUUAUAACAUUCGCGUCCUUCGCAAACCAUUUGCCUGCCCCGUGAAAACCCGAACUUCGUGGCUUGGGUGAGACGUUCAACAAACUUUCAUGAUCAUCUGGAUCGGGAUUUACGAGGAAUUUGCGGAGACUUUGCUUACAUCUUGAGAAGAUCCUGUGUAUAUGACGAAGAUGAUAAAUCGCGAGGUAAAACCUCUGUUGAUGCGGGAAACUUAUCACUUAUCCAAUUAUUUUUUAAAUUUCCGCUGAACUAAGAAUGGCAUCUGCAAUUGAUUUGCAGCCUGCAACCUAUCCGACCUACGCGCAAUUUUAGCGAGAAUUUGCUGCACAAAAUGCUUCUGUUAUAAUUUGCUCUAACGAAAUGUUGUAAUUUCGGAACCGCAAUUUUGGUCUCAAAAGUAGCGCGAGCUGUGAGCCACGCGGUCAAAAAAAUUUGCUCGGCGGAUUUAUCGCGAUAACUGGAUAGGGUGGGCUGAUUCGCGUGCCCGUGAAAACACACCUUAGUAAAUUGUAUUUGUACGUAAUAACAAAUUAUUCUUUUUUAACCAAAGGAAUUAAACUGAAUACUGUAUGAUUGAAUAUUUUACACAAGGUAUUGGUUAAUCAUUUUAUCACGUCUCCAUCUCCUGGUUGUUUCUUACUACGAAUCAUUCUCGUCACUCGGAAUGCGGCGUCUGACACAGCGUGGCAUGAGAGCCACUGUCUUCGAAAAUAUUUCCUCCGCCGUUAUUUAGAUGCUAUAUAAUAUUUCCUUUUUCUGUUAAGAUAACACGUUCUCAAUUAUUCUGGUUUAGCAGAAUAAAUCGUAUGUGAUGUCCGAAUUGUGUGACUGCAUUGGUUUUAGUAAUUGUUGGUCAAAGAUCUAUCUGACUAGAGAAAAUUGAUAUUAAAAUUCAAUUAUUGAAAAUGUGCUUACUACUCAGAUGUCACACUGUCGAUGUGUACUUAGGAUAUCAUGAACAACUUUGUUAUUGAUUAUGACGUAAUGGAAAUUACAAAUUGAACAGAAUAUUAAUUUAUAUGAAUAUAGACUUCCUUAAUUCGCCGCUGACUGAAUAUGCUAAAUAUGUCCUUUUAAAUCACUUAAGUUCUGGUCAACGCAAAGCUAAAGCUAACAGGCCUGAAAUAUCCAUAGCCUUUUAUGUGUAUUUAUACAACGGGAUAAAUUCCAGACUUACAUUUUUUAAUCCAGUCCACUCCCCCCCCCCCCCCCCCCCAGCAAAAAGAAAAGAUUCAAGCAAAAGCAGACUCUUAGUGUGUAAAUCGUGACUAAUAUUACAAAAUGUAUGAUUAUUGUUUGGACCAUCUUCAUCCGAAAGUGUUAGUCUUGUGUGAUUUUGGUGCAUCUGUUUUUUUUUCUUCUUCUCUCUUCUAGUUCAGUGCUUUCGCGCACUGUUUUACUUUCUGUCGGUUCAAAGGGUCUUCAAUCAAUAUAAUUGGUGUAUGUGGCCUCAACAUUUGUAUAGAGUUUAAGUAUUGAACAUAUUAAUGGUUGUGGGAUUGGUUAUAAAAUAACCAUAUUUGCAUUUUGUAUAAUGUAGUAUGUGUAUCCGUUUGCACAGUUCCUAUGUAUGAUAGUGUGUAUAUAUCAACGUAUGUUAAAUAUUGUACACAUCAAAUCGUCUUUCAAAAGUGAUGGGCAUUACUUAACGUGUUCAUGAAAACUUUCCUUGAUCAGUUUGUGGAGUAGCCUAUAUUCUCUGUUUAAAUUAUUAUUGAGAAUACAAAUUCCCAAGUUCUUGUGUUACUCAUUUAUUUCCUUUUGCAAUUAAAGACACGUACGUGUCAUUUUAUCUGUGUUUCGUCGAUAUGAAAUAAGUUUUUUAAAGUUGAAACAAUCUUAGCCGCGAUAUACUUCCUAAGUUAUCAAAGCUCGUUAUGAAUAUAUUAAUUGGUCGUGUUACAUGCCUGACUGUUGACGUCGGCUCUAAGGGGGUGUUUUCUAUAUCAUUAUAUAUCGUUUUUUUUGUUGUUGUUAUAGAUAGCACUCCUAUCUAGUAUGAACCAGAGCCUCCAAGAAAGUAUGGACUUGUAUAUGUCGAUAUAUGUAUAUUUUUACAGAUCAAUUGCUUUCCAAUCAAACGUGUAUCUGUCCAACUUAAUAAUACACGUGUCUUACAUUAGGAACUUUGUGUAUAUAUUUAAAUGUUUUGCUAUCUUGGAGAGCAAUAAGUUUGUUCUAUUCUUCCCCCCCCCCCAUUUCCUUUUGUUUUAAUAUCUGAAAUAUUUUAAUGAAGUUUUAUCUCACUGGCAAUACCUAUCGAGACUCAGAUAUUUUAUGCAGAAUUAUGAUUCUGUUAUGUUUUUGAAAUAUGCCUGCCUGUAUACGCUUUUCAGCGAAUUAUUUCUGUUCAUUCGGUCUAGAAGUAUAGAAUUAGACAUGUAUAGAAGUAUGGAAUGUAACUAUUUAAUUUUAGCUUCAUUGAUAAUGUUCUAACUAAGAUCUAACCACAGUACUAAAUUGUAAAAUGUGAAAUAUGAAAUGUUACUUGCACUGUGUAUGUAAACUGUCUAUUGAAUAACGUGUUUAUGACACUUUAAGUAUUUGUACCGCUCAUUUUGUAAAUUUUUGUAUAGCCUCUUUUACGUGAAUACAAUUCAUUUUGCGUGUUGCCAUUUUGUGAAAAACAUUUUUAUUACUCUUCCUUGUUGGAGAAAUAAAUGAUAAAAAU